UACGAGGGGUCCAAGCGUUGCUCGGAAUCAUUGGGCGUAAAGCGGGUGUAGGUGGCUUUAUAAGUCAGGAGUGAAAGCCCUGGGCUCAACCCAGGAAGUGCUUUUGAUACUGUAAAGCUUGAGUGUGGGAGAGGAUCGUGGAAUUCCAGGUGUAGCGGUGAAAUGCGUAGAUAUCUGGAGGAACACCGGUGGCGAAGGCGGCAUCCUGGACCAAUACUGACGCUCAGGUGCGAAAGCGUGGGGAGCAAACAGG
RNAcentral lists this ribosomal RNA (253 nucleotides) under uncultured bacterium. RNAcentral describes it as "partial 16S ribosomal RNA". It matches the Rfam family "Bacterial small subunit ribosomal RNA", at positions 524 to 776 of the family's 1533-position model. The record is from RNAcentral.